UACGUAGGGUGCGAGCGUUGUCCGGAAUUAUUGGGCGUAAAGGGCUCGUAGGCGGUUCGUCGCGUCGGGAGUGAAAAUCCAGGGCUUAACUCUGGACUGGCUUUCGAUACGGGCAGACUAGAGGUAUGCAGGGGAGAACGGAGUUCCUGGUGUAGCGGUGAAAUGCGCAGAUAUCAGGAGGAACACCGGUGGCGAAGGCGGUUCUCUGGGCAUUACCUGACGCUGAGGAGCGAAAGUGUGGGGAGCGAACAGG
RNAcentral lists this ribosomal RNA (253 nucleotides) under uncultured bacterium. RNAcentral describes it as "partial 16S ribosomal RNA". It matches the Rfam family "Bacterial small subunit ribosomal RNA", at positions 524 to 776 of the family's 1533-position model. The record is from RNAcentral.